AAGACUAUAGACCUGCGGAGUACCUGCGGAGGGAUCAUUACCAAUCAGCGGGAGGCCGCGAGGCCUCCCGUACUGCCUGUUUGGCCGCCUUAACUGCGCGGUCAACUGGUUAACCCUUUGUGAACCAAAAAACCUUUCGCUUCGGCAGCUGGGCCCUGACCGGCCUGUCAGCCUGCCGUUAGCACCCUUCAAAAACUUGUUGUCAAAACAUUGUCUGAUAACCAAAUUUUCGAAUGAAAA
This 240-nucleotide unclassified non-coding RNA is filed under the name soil metagenome. RNAcentral describes it as "partial contains 5.8S ribosomal RNA, internal transcribed spacer 2, and large subunit ribosomal RNA". The record is from RNAcentral.